Molecule: ribosomal RNA, 472 nt
Filed under: uncultured bacterium
Lineage: Bacteria
Also listed under: 1 other name
Description: bacterial SSU rRNA
Rfam family: Bacterial small subunit ribosomal RNA
Source: RNAcentral
AUUGAACGCUGGCGGCAGGCUUAACACAUGCAAGUCGAGCGGGGACUUCGGUCCUAGCGGCGAACGGGUGAGUAAUGCCUAGGAAUCUGCCUUGUAGUGGGGGAUAACGUUUCGAAAGGAGCGCUAAUACCGCAUACGUCCUACGGGAGAAAGGAGGGGAUCUUCGGACCUUCCGCUAUAAGAUGAGCCUAGGUCGGAUUAGCUAGUUGGUGGGGUAAAGGCCUACCAAGGCGACGAUCCGUAGCUGGUCUGAGAGGAUGAUCAGCCACACUGGAACUGAGACACGGUCCAGACUCCUACGGGAGGCAGCAGUGGGGAAUAUUGGACAAUGGGCGAAAGCCUGAUCCAGCCAUGCCGCGUGUGUGAAGAAGGCCCUUGGGUUGUAAAGCACUUUAAGCGGGGAGGAAGGUUCGCUGGCUAAUAUCCAGCGGAAUUGACGUUACCUGCAGAAUAAGCACCGGCUAACUCUGUG